RNAcentral lists this unclassified non-coding RNA (286 nucleotides) under Hevea brasiliensis (rubber tree). The record is from RNAcentral. Lineage: Eukaryota; Viridiplantae; Streptophyta; Magnoliopsida; Malpighiales; Euphorbiaceae.
GUAUAAUUUGAGUUGCUUGUUUGUUCCAAGGAUUUGAUUCAUCUGCUUUAUUUAUGGCUUAUGAUGGAUGGCUAAAAGGACUUGAUCUUGAGGUAGCAAGGUCCUGUGCUUUUUCAUAUUGUCUGCAAACUGCUCAUUUGUCAUUAUAGUAUCAUUAUGUGCCGAACCCCACUAGUUUAACUUUUAUGUUCAUUAUGCAGGAACAAUCGGCUAUUUAAUGUGUGAGUGCACUAGAUUAAUGCAUUUUUGGACAUUUAACAUUGAGAUUCUUCUCUUUGAAGGUGGA